GCGGCGCGCCUAACACAUGCAAGUCGAACGGGGUUCAUCUGAAUGAAGUUUUCGGAUGGAAUUUGGAUGUACCUAGUGGCGAACGGGUGAGUAACACGUGAAUAACCUGCCCUGGAGUGGGGGACAACAGUUGGAAACGACUGCUAAUACCGCAUAAGCCCACAGAGCCGCAUGGCUCAGGGGGAAAAGGAGCAAUUCGCUUCAGGAUGGAUUCGCGUCCAAUUAGCUGGAUGGUGAGGUAACGGCCCACCAUGGCGACGAUUGGUAGCCGGACUGAGAGGUUGAUCGGCCACAUUGGGACUGGGACACGGCCCAGACUCCUACGGGAGGCAGCAGUGGGGAAUAUUGCACAAUGGGGGAAACCCUGAUGCAGCGACGCCGCGUGGAGGAAGAAGGUCUUCGGAUUGUAAACUCCUGUCGUUGGGGACGAUAAUGACGGUACCCAACAAGAAAGCCACGGCUAACUACGUGCCAGCAGCCGCGGUAAAACGUAGGUGGCAAGCGUUGUCCGGAAUUACUGGGUGUAAAGGGAGCGCAGGCGGAAGGACAAGUUGGAAGUGAAACCCACGGGCUCAACCCGUGAACUGCUUUCAAAACUGUUUUUCUUGAGUGGUGUAGAGGUAGGCGGAAUUCCCGGUGUAGCGGUGGAAUGCGUAGAUAUCUGGAAGAACACCAAUGGCGAAGGCAGGUUUCCAGCACAUAACUGACGCUCAGGUGCGAAGGUGCGGGGAUCAAACAGGAUUAGAUACCCUGGUAGUCCGCACAGUAAACGAUGUGCACUAGGUGUCUGGGCAUAAGCCCGGGUGCCAAAGCAAACGCGAUAAGUGCACCGCCUGGGGAGUAUGCCCGCAAGGGUGAAACUCAAAGGAAUUGACGGGGGCCCGCACAUGCGGUGGAGCAUGUGGUUUAAUUCGAUGGUACGCGAGGAACCUUACCUGGGUUUGACAUACAUACCGAUUAUUUAGAGAUAAGUAAGCGUAGCAAUACGGGUAUGAACAGGUGCUGCAUGGCUGUCGUCAGCUCGUGCCGUGAGGUGUUGGGUUAAGUCCCGCAACGAGCGCAACCCCUACUGCCAGUUACUAACAGGUGAAGCUGAGGACUCUGGCGGAACUGCCGGCGACAAGCCGGAGGAAGGCGGGGAUGACGUCAAGUCAUCAUGGCCCUUAUGUCCAGGGCUACACACGUGCUACAAUGGUCGGUACAGAGUGAUGCGAGGCAGUGAUGCGGAGCAAAACGCAGAAAACCGAUCGUAGUCCGGAUUGGAGUCUGAAACCCGACUCCAUGAAGUUGGAAUCGCUAGUAAUCGCACAUCAGCACGGUGCGGUGAAUACGUUCCCGGGCCUUGU
This 1346-nucleotide ribosomal RNA is filed under the name uncultured bacterium. RNAcentral's name for it is "bacterial SSU rRNA". It matches the Rfam family "Bacterial small subunit ribosomal RNA", at positions 39 to 1384 of the family's 1533-position model. The record is from RNAcentral.